Molecule: ribosomal RNA, 460 nt
Filed under: uncultured bacterium
Lineage: Bacteria
Description: partial 16S ribosomal RNA
Rfam family: Bacterial small subunit ribosomal RNA
Source: RNAcentral
CCUACGUGUGGCAGCAGUGAGGAAUAUUGGUCAAUGGACGAGAGUCUGAACCAGCCAAGUAGCGUGAGGGAUGACUGCCCAAAGUGUUGUAAACUUCUUUUGUAAAGGAAUAAAACGAGGCACGUGUGCCUGUUUGAGUGUACUUUAUGAAAAAGGAUCGGCUAACUCCGUGCCAGCAGCCGCGGUAAUACGGAGGAUCCGAGCGUUAUCCGGGUUUAUUGGGUUUAAAGGGAGCGUCGAUGGGUUGUUAAGUCAGGUGUGAAAGUUCGCGGCUCAACCGUAAAAUUGCAAUUGAUACUGGCAGUCUCGAGUACAGGUGAGGUAGGCGGAAUGCGUGGUGUAGCGGUGAAAUGCUUAGAUAUCACGAAGAACCCCGAUUGCGAAGGCAGCUUACUAAACUGUGACUGACAUUGAUGCUCGAAAGUGUGGGUAUCAAACAGGAGUAGAUACCCCUGUAGUC